Molecule: non-coding RNA, 101 nt
Organism: Natranaerobius trueperi
Lineage: Bacteria; Bacillati; Bacillota; Clostridia; Natranaerobiales; Natranaerobiaceae
Source: Rfam
GCAUACGUGGGGUGGAUGAGUGUGCAUAUCAACACAAAGUCCAAUACCACCCGAACCCCACGGUGUAAAUGUGGCAGAUGUAUGAGAGGAAAGGUACCGUU